AUUUGUGUAUAAUCAAUGUGUUAAUCUUGAGUGAUGGUGCGACAUCUUAAAAAAUUAUGAGAGUAAAAAUAUUUCAAAAGCUAUUUUAUAAAAUAAGGAAGCAAAACAUGGUUUUAGAAGUAAAGAAAUUAAAUGUUGAUUAAAGCUAAAAUAUGUACAACAAAAAUACAUUAAAGCCUUUAUAAUAUUUUAAAAUUAAAUUAACUUUUUUUCAAGAAAAGAGUUUUAAAAAAAUUAAUUAAUCAAUAGACAAUAAUUUUAAAAUUAAUUAAUUAAAAGACAACAAAUAAAAAAUAAACAAUUUUAAAAAACAAAUAAUUAUAAAAAAAAUAACCGUCGAUAAAUAAAUAAAUAAAAGUUAGGCCCACCAGAAUAUUUGAUAUUUUGAGCUUAUUAGAAUGGAGUUUUGGAC
This 412-nucleotide long non-coding RNA is filed under the name Lathyrus oleraceus (garden pea). Its description in RNAcentral is "Pisum sativum (pea) long non-coding RNA (PSAT_LNC002479)". The record is from RNAcentral. Lineage: Eukaryota; Viridiplantae; Streptophyta; Magnoliopsida; Fabales; Fabaceae.